Molecule: ribosomal RNA, 400 nt
Filed under: phytoplankton environmental sample
Lineage: Eukaryota
Description: partial small subunit ribosomal RNA
Rfam family: Eukaryotic small subunit ribosomal RNA
Source: RNAcentral
AGCUCCAGUAGCGUAUAUUAAAGUUGUUGCAGUUAAAAAGCUCGUAGUUGGAUUUCUGACAUGGCGAGGCUGGCCCGCCACCAUUCGGUGUGUGAGUGCCGGCUCUUGUUUGUCAUCCUUCCGUUGAACGUUUCUGCUCUUCAUUGAGUUGGACUCGGGACGCGGAACAGUUACUGUGAAGAAAUUAGAGUGUUCAAAGCAGGCUCAACGCAACUGAAUACAUUAGCAUGGAAUAACGAUUUAGGACUUUGUUUCUAUUUUGUUGGUUUCUAGGAAUGAAGUAAUGAUUGAUAGGGAUAGUUGGGGGUGCUCGUAUUGGCCGGCCAGAGGUGAAAUUCUUAUAUUCGGUCAAGACGAACUUAUGCGAAAGCAUUCACCAAGGAUGUCUUCUUUAAUCAAG